This 422-nucleotide ribosomal RNA is filed under the name uncultured bacterium. RNAcentral's name for it is "bacterial SSU rRNA". It matches the Rfam family "Bacterial small subunit ribosomal RNA", at positions 355 to 774 of the family's 1533-position model. The record is from RNAcentral.
UAAGGAAUAUUGCGCAAUGGAGGCAACUCUGACGCAGCCAUGCCGCGUGCAGGAAGAAGGCGCUACGCGUUGUAAACUGCUUUUAUCCGGGAAGAAACCCCUCCACGUGUGGAGGGUUGACGGUACCGGAGGAAUAAGCACCGGCUAACUUCGUGCCAGCAGCCGCGGUAAUACGAAGGGUGCAAGCGUUAUCCGGAUUCAUUGGGUUUAAAGGGUGCGUAGGCGGAGCAAUAAGUCAGCGGUGAAAGCCCGUAGCUUAACUACGGAAUUGCCGUUGAUACUGUUGUUCUUGAGUACGCUUGACGUUGGCGGAAUGUGACGUGUUGCGGUAAAAUGCUUAGAUAUGGCACAGAACACCGAUAGUGAAGACAGCUCACGAAGGCGAAACUGACGCUGAGGCACGAAAGCGUGGGGAUCAAACA